UACGUAGGCAGCAAGCGUUGUUCGGAGUUACUGGGCGUAAAGAGUGUGUAGGUGGUCCUCUAAGUUUGGUGUGAAAUCUCCCGGCUCAACUGGGAGGGUGCGCCGAAAACUGGGGGGCUUGAGUGUGGGAGAGGAAAGCGGAAUUCCUGGUGUAGCGGUGAAAUGCGUAGAUAUCAGGAGGAACACCUGCGGUGUAGACGGCUUUCUGGACCACUACUGACACUGAGACACGAAAGCGUGGGGAGCAAACAG
RNAcentral lists this ribosomal RNA (252 nucleotides) under uncultured bacterium. RNAcentral describes it as "partial 16S ribosomal RNA". It matches the Rfam family "Bacterial small subunit ribosomal RNA", at positions 524 to 775 of the family's 1533-position model. The record is from RNAcentral.